Molecule: transfer RNA, 87 nt
Filed under: Halobacteroides halobius DSM 5150
Lineage: Bacteria; Bacillati; Bacillota; Clostridia; Halanaerobiales; Halobacteroidaceae
Description: tRNA-Arg (CCT) (tRNA-Arg-CCT-2-1)
Rfam family: transfer-messenger RNA
About the family: Bacterial tmRNA, also known as 10Sa RNA or SsrA, is named for its dual tRNA and mRNA-like properties. Its role is to liberate the mRNA from a stalled ribosome.
Source: RNAcentral
GGGGGUAAAGUUGCGAAACUAAAUCAUAAGCUACGCUCGUAGAAACUCCUAAUGGGGACGGGAGUUCGAAUCUCCCCACCUCCACCA